GCCGCCUCAGUCUGCUGUCGGGCCGCCUCUGCCUGCUGAGUGACCAAGUCGGUGAGGGCCGCCAGCUGGCCCCUCAACUCACAGACCUCGCUGGAUCCGGAGGUAGCGGACUUCUCGACCUCCUCGAAGUUUGCCGCAUUGUCCGUCCCGGCAGAUUGGGAGCGAGUAAUCGGCAUCGUCACUACAACAUCAUAAAAGCGCAAGUUAGAAAUACUCACGCUAUCGCAUCCCCGCUCAAAAGACAAACCCCGAAUCAUGCGAAAGUAAGGAAGUGUUCUACACUACUAACUCCCGAUGUUACGUUGUC
RNAcentral lists this long non-coding RNA (307 nucleotides) under Ananas comosus (pineapple). RNAcentral describes it as "long non-coding RNA (ACOM_LNC035976)". The record is from RNAcentral. Lineage: Eukaryota; Viridiplantae; Streptophyta; Magnoliopsida; Poales; Bromeliaceae.